Molecule: transfer RNA, 70 nt
Filed under: Dipodomys ordii (Ord's kangaroo rat)
Lineage: Eukaryota; Metazoa; Chordata; Mammalia; Rodentia; Heteromyidae
Rfam family: tRNA
About the family: Transfer RNA (tRNA) molecules are approximately 80 nucleotides in length. Their secondary structure includes four short double-helical elements and three loops (D, anti-codon, and T loops).
Source: Rfam by way of RNAcentral
GGGAAUGUGACUCAGGGGUAGAGUGCUUGCCUUGCAUGCAUGAGGCCCUGAGUUCGAUUCCUCAGCACCA